Small nucleolar RNA from Astatotilapia calliptera (eastern happy), 132 nucleotides. Ensembl annotates it as small nucleolar RNA SNORA3/SNORA45 family. NCBI's taxonomy places the organism in Eukaryota, Metazoa, Chordata, Actinopteri, Cichliformes, Cichlidae. The record is from Ensembl.
AACGAGGCUAGAGUCACGCCUGGACAUUUUCUGUUGUCUUGGUGUGCUAGAGUGCUCGUAGAUUAAAAGUCUUUGCUUAUUCAUUGGCUGUAGUCUGUCGUGGCCCAGCCAAUCACCAACUCAGAUACAUUU